Molecule: ribosomal RNA, 253 nt
Filed under: uncultured bacterium
Lineage: Bacteria
Description: partial 16S ribosomal RNA
Rfam family: Bacterial small subunit ribosomal RNA
Source: RNAcentral
UACGUAGGUGGCAAGCGUUGUCCGGAUUUACUGGGCGUAAAGAGCGCGCAGGCGGUCGUUCAAGUCGCGUGUGAAAGCCCCCGGCUCAACUGGGGAGGGUCACGCGAUACUGAUCGACUGGAAGGCAGGAGAGGGUAGUGGAAUUCCCGGUGUAGUGGUGAAAUGCGUAGAUAUCGGGAGGAACACCAGUGGCGAAGGCGACUACCUGGCCUGUUCUUGACGCUGAGGCGCGAGAGCUAGGGGAGCAAACGGG